RNAcentral lists this long non-coding RNA (946 nucleotides) under Homo sapiens (human). Its description in RNAcentral is "non-protein coding TMEM254-AS1:29". Lineage: Eukaryota; Metazoa; Chordata; Mammalia; Primates; Hominidae. The record is from RNAcentral.
AUCCCCGCAGGGAGAAGAUGGUGCUGGUUGGGAAGUCCCUGAGAGCGAGUCUCCCUGUCUGGCCCCAGUACAGGGGCCUUGGAAUCACACCUGGGCUCAGGUCUGGAGGGCUGGUCAUCAUCUUGUAGGGGAGACACUCCUGUCACUUUUCUGGGUUUAAGAUAAAGAUGUUCGGGCUGGCGCGGUGGCGUGUCCCUGUAAUCUCAGCACGUUGGGAGGCUGAGGUAGAAAGAUCCCUUGAGCCCAGGAGUUUGAGACCAGCCCGGGUAACAUAGCUAGACUCUGUCUCGAAUGAAUGAAUGAAUGAAUGAGGUGUUGGAAUAAAUUCCAGCAAUUUGGGAGGCCGAGUCGGGCAGAUCACUUGAGGUCAGGAGUUUGAGACCAGCGUGGUCAACAUGGUGAAACCCCGUCUGUACUAAAAAUACAAAAAAUUUGCUGGGCGCGGUGGUGCCUGCCUGUAGUCCCAGCAACUCCAGAGGCUGAGACAAGACUCUCUUGAACCUGAGAGGUGCAGGUUGCAGUGGGCCCAGAUCACGCCACUGCACUCCAGCCUGGGCAACACAGCAAGACCCUGUCUCAAAAAAAAAAAAAAAAGAUGGUGUUUUACUAAGAGUCUAAUUUUUGAAGUUCUCUGUGCUGUGCACCUUGAGAAAUAAUGCUGUCCUCAUUAGUUAAGAUGUUUGGAACUAUACAGCACCAUGGUUAUGAGCAGGGACUGUGAAACAGGCUGCCUGGAUUUAAGUCCUGGCUCUGUCUCGGCUAUUUGUAGUCACUUGGAACUCUUCUGUGGCAUCUGAAGCAGAUGGACGAAGCCAAGAGGGCCGAGAGUAUCUCAGCACCUAGAAAUGGACAAGGCUGGUUAUUAGAACAAAGAUUUCGCAGGUGGUGAGUCUCAAAGGCGAAGCUGAAUGGUAGUAUAAUUUUUUUUAAAUUUUAAUUAUUAAAA